This 904-nucleotide long non-coding RNA is filed under the name Homo sapiens (human). RNAcentral describes it as "non-protein coding lnc-BTNL8-5:2". Lineage: Eukaryota; Metazoa; Chordata; Mammalia; Primates; Hominidae. The record is from RNAcentral.
GUGGGCACAGCAAGCUGACUUGCCUUCUCGAGUGGGUGAAAAACAAUUGGCAUUUCAGUGAGGAACUGGAUGUAAUACAUGAAAUGGCUCAGAUCUACUCAGCUGGAACCCAGGUGAGGAGAAUAUUCUGAGUAAAAAAAUCAUGAUUUGUUGUUUUCUGGGCUUUGGCACUAUACAGAACACCACAGGCAGUUUGUUCCAGGGUAGAGGUCAGGGAUGGCUGGCCUGAGGGACACACAGACCCCAGACUCAUCUCCCUCUCUCAGCCAGGGCGGUAGCUCUCCCUUCACCUCCUGAUGUCCUCGGACUUUAUUCCCAGCUCAAAUGCCACGCUCCUCGAAAGUGCAGUACGCUGUCAGGAUGAGCUUUCGUUGCCCUACGUUGGAAUUCACUGUGGCACAGCUGUCCCUGGCUUUCCUCCUUUUCCUAUUUCUCAGUCCCACAGCAGUGUCUUGAGAGGACUUGGGUGGAUGUGCAGCAGCUGCAGGGAUGAAGUAGACAGGAGCAGCCAUGGAAGAAACUCAGGUUUCAGUGAAGCACUAUGAGGAGGUCCUCCCAGGGAGGCUGUGGAAUCAAAAUGUUAAAAGGGGUAGAAAAAAAGCGAGCUACAAGAUGAAGAUUUUGCCUACCACGUUUUGAGAAAAUUUAAAAAGAUAAGCGAUACAGUGAAUGAGACAGGACUUUCGGCUAAAAUCGGAGUAAAAUUUGUAGAUUCCAGUAAACCAAAUCCCUAGAGAAGAGUCCCAGCCAAGACAAUGUUAGAAACUUGGUUGCAAAUUGUACAAGUUUGAACUGAGAAGGCCAAGUUUGUGGGUUAAUGGAAAAGAGAAAAAUAGGCAUCCCAAGAAGGAUACAUUGUUUUCCCAUUAAAGAAGCAAGGAAAUACACUUUGAAAAGUAAGUAU